RNAcentral lists this non-coding RNA (172 nucleotides) under Microbacterium trichothecenolyticum. Its description in RNAcentral is "FMN sequence". It matches the Rfam family "FMN riboswitch aptamer (RFN element)". From Rfam's summary of the family: The RFN element is a highly conserved domain that is found frequently in the 5'-untranslated regions of prokaryotic mRNAs that encode for flavin mononucleotide (FMN) biosynthesis and transport proteins. Lineage: Bacteria; Bacillati; Actinomycetota; Actinomycetes; Micrococcales; Microbacteriaceae. The record is from Rfam by way of RNAcentral.
ACGUGCUCCGGGGUCGGUGAGAAUCCGAACCGGCGGUGACAGUCCGCGAGCCUAGGCAUCAGCAUCCGUUUCGGAUGCCGCCACGGCCGAUCCGGUGGAAUUCCGGAACCGACGGUGAUGCGACAGGUCCCCUCAGGGAGCAGGUCGCUAGUCCGGAUGGGAGGCAGCACAG